RNAcentral lists this unclassified non-coding RNA (429 nucleotides) under Hevea brasiliensis (rubber tree). Lineage: Eukaryota; Viridiplantae; Streptophyta; Magnoliopsida; Malpighiales; Euphorbiaceae. The record is from RNAcentral.
GUGGAAGGCCAAACUCUGAUAAUUGCUUAGCCAAGGAACAAAUUUAUCUUCUUGAAUGGGCAUGGAGUUUGCAUGCAAAUAACCAAAGUUUGGCACUAGUGGAUCCAAACUUAACUGAUUUUGAUGAAAAUGAAGCUCUUAAGGUCAUAGGGGUUGCUCUCUUGUGUACUCAAGGCUCACCAAUGAUGAGACCAACAAUGUCACGUGUUGUAGGCAUGCUUGCUGGAGAUAUCGAAGUGAAUGCUAUAGUAUCAAAGCCAAGCUAUUUGACUGAUUGGGAUUUUAAGGAUAUAACCUCUAGCUUUUCAAAUCAAGAUUCUACUAAAUCCAUUGAAGCUGAAAGUAGCAAAAACAACAAUAAUAAUACAGGGGUUGAUACAAUGGAUACUCCAUUAAAUCUCACUGUGUCUAGCCUCACUGAUCUUAUUG